Bos taurus (domestic cattle) is the source of this 423-nucleotide long non-coding RNA. NCBI's taxonomy places the organism in Eukaryota, Metazoa, Chordata, Mammalia, Artiodactyla, Bovidae. The record is from Ensembl.
GGUUGCAGCCUCAGCACAUCAGAGGGAGAGUCAGUCAAGAUGCAUGCAAUGAAUUAUUACAUUUCUCUCUCCAAAAGCUGGGAGUUUCUCACCCAACAACUUCAUCACCUAUGUGGCACACUGGUAAAGAAUCCUCCUGCCUGUGCAAAAGACGCAGUUUUGAUUCCUGGGUCGGGAAGAUCCCCUGAAGGAAAUGGCAACCCACUCCAGUAUCCUUGCUUGGAAAAUUCCAUGGACAGAGGAGCCUGGUGGACUACAGUCCAUGGGGUCACAAGAGCCGGACACAACUGAGUGACUUGCACUUUCACUAGAUAGCAAGGCUGGCUUCUUUGGCAGCCCCCUUAAUAGUGGAUGACCUCUUCCGCAAAGCACCAUGUUCAACUAUCCACUUUGUUUUUGUCUGAUUUCCUUUGGCAGUAAGCU